Molecule: ribosomal RNA, 782 nt
Filed under: uncultured eukaryote
Lineage: Eukaryota
Description: bacterial SSU rRNA
Rfam family: Eukaryotic small subunit ribosomal RNA
Source: RNAcentral
ACGAUUAGAUACCGUCGUAGUCUUAACUAUAAACUAUACCGACUCGGAAUUGGGCAAUUUUAAUUUAGAUUGCUCAGCGCCGUAAGAGAAAUCAAAGUCUUUGGGGUUCUUGGUGGAGUACGGUCCCAAGGCUGAAACUUAAAGGAAUUGACGGUUCUCUACACCAGUUUUGGAACCUGCGGCUUAAUUUGACUCAACACGGGAAAACUUAUCAGGGUAAAAAGGUAUUGGGAUUGACAGAUUGAGAGUUCUUUCUUGAUUUAUCUAAUGGUGGUGCAUGGCCGUUCUUAGUUGGUGGAGUGAUUUGUCUGGUUAAUUCCGAUAACGAACGAGACCUUAACCUGCUAACUAGUAUCGCGUUUUCCAACGUGAAUGCUUCUUAGAGGGACAAAGUGUUGUAAACACAAGGAAGUUUAAGGCAAUAACAGGUCUGUGAUGCCCUUAGAUACCCUGAGCCGCACGCGCGUUACAAUGACACUUUCAUCAAGUAUUUGCUGAUCCGAAAGGAUUCUGGCUAAUCUUUUUAGUGAGUGUCGUGCUAGGGAUUGAUCUUUGUAAUUGUGGAUCAUGAACGAGGAAAACCUAGUAAGCGUGGGUCAUUAGCCCACGCUGAUUACGUCCCUGGAGAAUGUACACAUCGCCCGUCGCUUGCUCCGAUUGAGUAAUCUGGUGAGCCUUCUGGACCGAGCAGCUUGCUGCAAGGAAAAAUAAGCAAACCAUAUUACUUAGAGGAUGAAGAAGUCGUAACAAAGUUUCCGUAGGUGAACCUGCGGAAGGAUCAA